Molecule: ribosomal RNA, 548 nt
Filed under: uncultured bacterium
Lineage: Bacteria
Description: partial 16S ribosomal RNA
Rfam family: Bacterial small subunit ribosomal RNA
Source: RNAcentral
UGGGGAAUUUUGGACAAUGGGCGAAAGCCUGAUCCAGCAAUGCCGCGUGUGUGAAGAAGGCCUUCGGGUUGUAAAGCACUUUUGUCCGGAAAGAAAUCCUUGGCUCUAAUACAGUCGGGGGAUGACGGUACCGGAAGAAUAAGCACCGGCUAACUACGUGCCAGCAGCCGCGGUAAUACGUAGGGUGCAAGCGUUAAUCGGAAUUACUGGGCGUAAAGCGUGCGCAGGCGGUUUGCUAAGACCGAUGUGAAAUCCCCGGGCUCAACCUGGGAACUGCAUUGGUGACUGGCAGGCUAGAGUAUGGCAGAGGGGGGUAGAAUUCCACGUGUAGCAGUGAAAUGCGUAGAGAUGUGGAGGAAUACCGAUGGCGAAGGCAGCCCCCUGGGCCAAUACUGACGCUCAUGCACGAAAGCGUGGGGAGCAAACAGGAUUAGAUACCCUGGUAGUCCACGCCCUAAACGAUGUCAACUAGUUGUUGGGGAUUCAUUUCCUUAGUAACGUAGCUAACGAGUGAAGUUGACCGCCUGGGGGAGUACGGUCGCAAGAUU